AGGAGCUAUGGACAGUUGAUGACUGCCAGGAGAGGGAAAGUCGGUUUUCUUCAGGAGUGUGGUCCUUGGUGUGUUGACUAUCCAGGGGAUGAUUCUACUCCAUGUGUACAUGGGCAGCACUGACUGGACUCGAACAUCCCGAGUACUUCAGAAGGAGGAAUAGGAGCACACACCUAUAAUCUCAGGACUCAGCCUGAGGCCCAAGGUUUGCAAGUUGAAGGACAGCCUGUGCUACAUAGAGGGUGCUGGCCAGCCUGGGCUACAAAGUGAAACUGCUUCUGCUCUCUGCCUUGAAAACAAAAGAGCAGAAAGAAAAGGAUUCUGGAAGUGAUUGACAAGGUCAGGACCACAGAAGGCCACAGAGUCACGACAGGACACACAGCGAUCACUUCCUUCCAAUGCUGAGGCUGUUGGGAGGUUCUGCUUUCAGUGUUGCUCUCCUGGGAUUUCGGUUCUCACACCUGCUCUCCAGCCAAUCAGCCAGGAAAGAAGGACAGGACAGCUGAGGGGGUGGGAGAGAGAGAGAGAGAGAGAGAGAGAGAGAGAGAGAGAGAGAGAGAAUGAUUGCAUGCUGGGGUCACAGAACAACUCGGUGCAGAUGGUUUUCUCUUUCCUACUUUAUACAUGUUCUGGGAUCACACCAGGCUUUUGCUGCACGUGCUUUUACUAACUGAGGUAUCUCAACAGCUCUGGUUUUGCUUUGUUUUGCUUUGUUUUGUUUUUCUUAAAACGUAUGGUCUUUUAGGACUUAUAAGGCAUUCCUUGCUCCAAGCUCUUCUGGCUUUCAAAACUUCCAAAGUUUCCACUGAGAAAUCAGCCAUUAUUCUAGUGGAUUUUCCUUCAUAUGUGACUUGUGUUUAUUCUCUUGCAGCUUACGGUGCAUUCUCUUUGUUGUGUGUACUUUAACUAUGACAGGCUGUAGGGAGUCUCUUUUCUGGCCUUGUCUCUUUGGUGUUCUGUGUACUUCUUGUGUUUGUAUGGGCGUGUCUUUCCUUAGUGUGGGGCUGGAGAGAUAGAUCGCUCACUGCUAAGAGCGCUGGCUGCUCCGGGCAGUGGUGGCGCAUGCCUUUAAUCCCAGCACUUGGGAGGCAGAGGCAGGUGGAGCUUUGUGAGUUGGAGGCCAGCCAGAGCACUGGCUGCUCUUCCAGGGGUCCUGAGUUCAAUUUCCAGCAACUGCAUGGUAGAACACAACCAUCGAUAAUGGGAUCAAUUCCCACUUCUGGCAUGCAGGCGUACAUGCAGACAGGGCACUCAUAUACAUAAAAUACAAGAAUAAAUAAAGAGUUUUAAAACACUUUUUAAAAAGAAGUUCCUAUAAAAAAUAUUUCUCUGAGCCAGUGGUGGUGGCAC
Molecule: non-coding RNA, 1350 nt
Organism: Peromyscus maniculatus bairdii (prairie deer mouse)
Lineage: Eukaryota; Metazoa; Chordata; Mammalia; Rodentia; Cricetidae
Source: RefSeq, a predicted model, not a curated record